Molecule: ribosomal RNA, 750 nt
Filed under: bacterium
Lineage: Bacteria
Description: bacterial SSU rRNA
Rfam family: Bacterial small subunit ribosomal RNA
Source: RNAcentral
GCCCAAAGACGGCAGGCUACACAUGCAGUCGAACGGUAGCACAGAGAGCUUGCUCUCGGGUGACGAGUGGCGGACGGGUGAGUAAUGUCUGGGAAACUGCCCGAUGGAGGGGGAUAACUACUGGAAACGGUAGCUAAUACCGCAUAACGUCGCAAGACCAAAGUGGGGGACCUUCGGGCCUCACACCAUCGGAUGUGCCCAGAUGGGAUUAGCUAGUAGGUGGGGUAAUGGCUCACCUAGGCGACGAUCCCUAGCUGGUCUGAGAGGAUGACCAGCCACACUGGAACUGAGACACGGUCCAGACUCCUACGGGAGGCAGCAGUGGGGAAUAUUGCACAAUGGGCGCAAGCCUGAUGCAGCCAUGCCGCGUGUAUGAAGAAGGCCUUCGGGUUGUAAAGUACUUUCAGCGGGGAGGAAGGCGGUGAAGUUAAUAGCUUCACCGAUUGACGUUACCCGCAGAAGAAGCACCGGCUAACUCCGUGCCAGCAGCCGCGGUAAUACGGAGGGUGCAAGCGUUAAUCGGAAUUACUGGGCGUAAAGCGCACGCAGGCGGUCUGUCAAGUCGGAUGUGAAAUCCCCGGGCUUAACCUGGGAACUGCAUUCGAAACUGGCAGGCUGGAGUCUUGUAGAGGGGGGUAGAAUUCCAGGUGUAGCGGUGAAAUGCGUAGAGAUCUGGAGGAAUACCGGUGGCGAAGGCGGCCCCCUGGACAAAGACUGACGCUCAGGUGCGAAAGCGUGGGGAGCAAACAG